RNAcentral lists this unclassified non-coding RNA (383 nucleotides) under uncultured bacterium. RNAcentral describes it as "contains 16S-23S intergenic spacer region". The record is from RNAcentral.
UCCGAGUUGACCCCGGCAGUCUCUUACGAGUCCCCACCAUAACGUGCUGGCAACAUAAGAUAGGGGUUGCGCUCGUUGCGGCACUUAAGCCAACACCUCACGGCACGAGCUGACGACAACCAUGCACCACCUGUGUUCCCGCCAGCCGAACUGAAGGAUGCCGUCUCCGGCACCCAUACGGGACAUGUCAAGCCUAGGUAAGGUUCUGCGCGUUGCUUCGAAUUAAACCACAUGCUCCACCGCUUGUGCGGGCCCCCGUCAAUUCCUUUGAGUUUCAGCCUUGCGGCCGUACUCCCCAGGCGGGGCACUUACUGCGUUAGCGACGGCACCGGGAGGGUCGCUCCCCCCGACGCCUAGUGCCCAUCGUUUACGGCGUGGACUAC